Molecule: long non-coding RNA, 201 nt
Filed under: Lathyrus oleraceus (garden pea)
Lineage: Eukaryota; Viridiplantae; Streptophyta; Magnoliopsida; Fabales; Fabaceae
Description: Pisum sativum (pea) long non-coding RNA (PSAT_LNC022270)
Source: RNAcentral
AAAUAUAUGUUAAACUAUGUUUAGUAAUGUAAUAACAUCAAAAUGACAUUCGUGUACUUGUUCGUUGUUGUGUUCUCUAAAUGAGUAACUCUGCUAGUCCAAGCAACACCUAACCUUUCUUUAUAAGGUGUCAACCAUGUCUCACUCACAUACUUAACAAACAAAGAAAUAUCAACAGAAACAGUCUCAAAGUGCUUCAAG